Molecule: regulatory RNA element, 77 nt
Organism: Arthrobacter cupressi
Lineage: Bacteria; Bacillati; Actinomycetota; Actinomycetes; Micrococcales; Micrococcaceae
Rfam family: Actino-pnp RNA
Source: Rfam
CGCGGUCCUCGGUAGUGAUCCCCGGGAACGUCCGUCAGUACGACGGCGGAGCCCGAGGGUCUCGAUCGAUGACCGGG